AUCAUGAAAGAGUCGGUGUGUUGCAACACAUAGGAUGUAGAUGUCUCAGUUCAAGAAGGAUAUACAAGAGAAAUGAGCAAUAUUGUGGUGAUUGAACCAUAUAGAAGAUAGUUCAAUACAAAAGAUGCAUAUACGUAAGGAGAGAUCGACGUAAUUCGGACCCAAUGGGAAAGUUUUGUUGGCCGAUUUGUGUAAGGAUGUAAUUCUUGUUUUUUUGUCUCAAUAGAAUGUAAAUUCUAGCUUAGAAU
Benincasa hispida (wax gourd) is the source of this 248-nucleotide non-coding RNA. The record is from RefSeq and is a predicted model, not a curated record. Lineage: Eukaryota; Viridiplantae; Streptophyta; Magnoliopsida; Cucurbitales; Cucurbitaceae.